This is an RNA transcript of Solanum dulcamara, 1936 nucleotides long. It is a transcript of the gene named cytochrome P450 81Q32-like, with no coding region annotated. Lineage: Eukaryota; Viridiplantae; Streptophyta; Magnoliopsida; Solanales; Solanaceae. The record is from RefSeq and is a predicted model, not a curated record. The transcript has a single exon.
CUGAACUUUUUUAGUUAUUUAUAGCUACUGUAAAAAGUCUUAUUUGAUUGUAUUUGCAUGAACCAUGGAAAUUUCAUACUACAUACUCUUCUUCACCUUCCUUUACUUGCUAAAGAACCAGUUCCUUGGAAAAUUCCAAAAUCUCCCACCAAGUCCCUAUAUCUCAUUGCCCAUAAUAGGUCAUUUAUAUCUACUCAAGAAACCACUUCAUAAAACAUUAGCCAACAUCUCAGAAAAGCAUGGUCCUUUGCUUUUCCUCCGAUUUGGAUCGCGUCCCGUCCUGCUUAUCUCUUCCCCUGCUCUUGCAGAGGAAUGUUUCACCAAAAACGACGUUGUUUUUGCCAAUCGUCCGAGGUUGCUUGCUGGAAAACAUCUUGGUUACAACUACACCAGCCUUGUUUGGUCAUCCUAUGGCCAACAUUGGCGCAACCUAAGAAGGAUUGCUACUAUUGAAAUCUUGUCCACUCAGAGAAUUCAAAUGUUUGCUGAUAUCCAUAGAGAUGAGGUUCGCGGUCUGGUCCAACGCCUUGUAAGGGGGAAAACCAGUGGUGGAGAUCAUAAGACAAACGUGGUGGAUAUGAAAGCGGCUUUCUUUGAGAUGACAUUGAAUAUUUUAAUGAUGAUGAUUGCUGGGAAAAAAAUACUAUGGUGGUUCUGCUGGGAAAUUGGAGGAAUGUAGGAGGUUUAAAGAGAUUGUGAUAGAAACUUUCCAAGUGAGUAGUGCAACAAAUAUAGGAGAUUUUGUGCCACUUCUUAAAUGGAUAGGAGUAAACAAUCUUGAGGAUAAGGUGAAGUUAGUGAAGGAGAAGAGGGAUAAAUUCAUGCAAGAAUUGAUUGAAGAGCACAAGAACAGCAGAAAGGGAUCUUCUUUGGAGCAAAAGAACAAUACCAUGAUUGAUGUUCUUCUAUCACUCCAAGAUUCAGAGCCUGAUUAUUACACAGAUGAAGUGAUAAGAGGCAUGGGAAUAGUCAUGUUAACAGAAGGGACUGAUACUACAGGUAGCACAAUGGAAUGGGCAUUAUCAUUUCUUCUGAACAAUCCCGAGGCACUAAAGAAAGCUCAAAAUGAAAUCGACACUCACAUCGGAGAGUCAUCAAGAUUAAUUGAUGAUUUAGACCUUACUCAACUCCCUUAUCUCCAUGGAAUCAUAAACGAAACUCUCCGGAUAUGCCCACCUGGUCCAUUACUUGUGCCACACGAGUCCUCCGAUGAGUGUGUCCUUGGAGGUUUUCGUGUACCCCGUGGUACAAUGUUGCUAGUGAAUUUGUGGGCAAUACAAAAUGAUUCUAAAUUGUGGGAUAGGCUAAAUGAGUUCAAGCCUGAAAGGUUUAUCAAUUUCAAAGGGCAACGAGACGGGUUCAGGCUAAUGCCAUUUGGAUAUGGAAGGAGAGGAUGUCCAGGUGAAAAUUUGGCAAUGCAUGUGGCUGGUUUGGCAUUAGGAUCACUUAUUCAGUGCUUUGAAUGGGAGAGAGUAAGUGAAGAGCUGGUAGACAUGACCGGAGGACCUGGGCUCAAUAUGCCGAAGGCUAUACCAUUGCUAGCAAAAUGUAGGCCACGCCAAAAUAUUGACAACCUUCUUGCUCAUUUGUAAUCACAAUGCUCUCCUGCACUUUCCCUUUUCAGCCAGAACUAAUAAAUUUAGAGAAACAAUGAUACAUUUGUCUAUUAACACUUACUACAGAAACAUAGGCAAAAUAACAUCUAAUCUCAAGUAGCCAGCUAAUAGUUCACAGCUUGCAGGGCAUGAUCAGUAAUAAUUGGAGAGGGCAGGCUUCAUUGUUCUAGCACAUCUCUUCUAUAGUUCCUAACAGAACAACAACUGCGUAUCAAUCCCAAACUUCUAGUUGCUAAUAAAUAGUAACAUCUAAUUUAUGUUACGCCUUCUGUGCAAUACUUGAAUACAAAUAUCAAUUUAUGCAUUGAAGUUGAUCCUCA